GGCUCAGGACGAACGCUGGCGGCGUGCCUAAUACAAUGCAAGUCGAACGGCUUUUCUAUGGAAGCUUGCUUCCACUGAGAAGAUAGUGGCGAACGGGUGAGUAACACGUGGGUAACCUGCCCAUAAGAGGGGGAUAACAUCCGGAAACGGGUGCUAAUACCGCAUAGUUUUCUUGAUUGCAUGAUUGAGAAAGGAAAGACGGCCUUUGUGCUGUCGCUUAUGGAUGGACCCGCGGCGUAUUAGUUAGUUGGUGAGGUAACGGCUCACCAAGACGAUGAUACGUAGCCGACCUGAGAGGGUGAUCGGCCACAUUGGGACUGAGACACGGCCCAAACUCCUACGGGAGGCAGCAGUAGGGAAUCUUCCGCAGUGGACGAAAGUCUGACGGAGCAACGCCGCGUGAGUGAAGAAAAGGUUUUCGGAUCGUAAAACUCUGUUGUCAGAGAAGAACAAGUUGGAGAGUAACUGCUCCAGCCUUGACGGUAUCUGACCAGAAAGCCACGGCUAACUACGUGCCAGCCGCAGC
Molecule: ribosomal RNA, 526 nt
Filed under: uncultured bacterium
Lineage: Bacteria
Description: bacterial SSU rRNA
Rfam family: Bacterial small subunit ribosomal RNA
Source: RNAcentral